UUAAUGAUUGUUAUUAACAUAAUUCAGACAGAAGGCAAAAUAAAUACAAAUGGUUUGUAGAAUACCUCCCGCAAGCGGCCAGAGCCUACUGGUUAGGUAGACUGAGCAAGGCCUGAAAGGCAGUUUGGGACACAGUGCCCAAACCCAGCCUGCGGAAGCAACAGGAAUGAUACGCAGGGUGUGUUAGAAUUGUAGCUCUGGGCUUACGAUGAAGCUUAGUACAGAUUCUUCUAAUGAUCCUUCCGCAGGUUCACCUACGGAAA
Molecule: unclassified non-coding RNA, 263 nt
Filed under: uncultured fungus
Lineage: Eukaryota; Fungi
Description: sequence contains ITS1
Source: RNAcentral